AAGAAAAGUUAUGAAAUACAGAGAUUGCUAAUUAUCUGACCCUAAAGUUAAAAUCUUUAGUUUUCUUA
This 68-nucleotide transfer RNA is filed under the name Neurergus kaiseri (Luristan newt). Its description in RNAcentral is "tRNA-Ser". The record is from RNAcentral. Lineage: Eukaryota; Metazoa; Chordata; Amphibia; Caudata; Salamandridae.